Molecule: ribosomal RNA, 450 nt
Filed under: uncultured bacterium
Lineage: Bacteria
Description: partial 16S ribosomal RNA
Rfam family: Bacterial small subunit ribosomal RNA
Source: RNAcentral
GUGGGGAAUAUUGGACAAUGGGCGAAAGCCUGAUCCAGCCAUGCCGCGUGUGUGAAGAAGGUCUUCGGAUUGUAAAGCACUUUAAGUUGGGAGGAAGGGCAGUAAGUUAAUACCUUGCUGUUUUGACGUUACCGACAGAAUAAGCACCGGCUAACUUCGUGCCAGCAGCCGCGGUAAUACGAAGGGUGCAAGCGUUAAUCGGAAUUACUGGGCGUAAAGCGCGCGUAGGUGGGUUUGUAAGUUGGAGGUGAAAUCCCCGGGCUCAACCUGGGAACUGCGUCCAAAACUGCAUGACUAGAGUACGGUAGAGGGUAGUGGAAUUUCCUGUGUAGCGGUGAAAUGCGUAGAUAUAGGAAGGAACACCAGUGGCGAAGGCGACUACCUGGACUGAUACUGACACUGAGGUGCGAAAGCGUGGGGAGCAAACAGGAUUAGAUACCCUUGUAGUCC